GCGCAGGUGACGGAAUGGGUAGACGACCGACGCUUCGCUCGUCGGGCCCCGCGGGGGCGUGAGGGUUCGAGUCCCUCUCUGCGCA
RNAcentral lists this transfer RNA (85 nucleotides) under Nannocystis exedens. RNAcentral describes it as "tRNA_Pseudo_TCG". It matches the Rfam family "tRNA". From Rfam's summary of the family: Transfer RNA (tRNA) molecules are approximately 80 nucleotides in length. Their secondary structure includes four short double-helical elements and three loops (D, anti-codon, and T loops). Further hydrogen bonds mediate the characteristic L-shaped molecular structure. tRNAs have two regions of fundamental functional importance: the anti-codon, which is responsible for specific mRNA codon recognition, and the 3' end, to which the tRNAs corresponding amino acid is attached (by aminoacyl-tRNA synthetases). tRNAs cope with the degeneracy of the genetic code in two manners: having more than one tRNA (with a specific anti-codon) for a particular amino acid; and 'wobble' base-pairing, i.e. permitting non-standard base-pairing at the 3rd anti-codon position. Lineage: Bacteria; Pseudomonadati; Myxococcota; Nannocystales; Nannocystaceae. The record is from RNAcentral.